Molecule: ribosomal RNA, 325 nt
Filed under: uncultured bacterium
Lineage: Bacteria
Description: bacterial SSU rRNA
Rfam family: Bacterial small subunit ribosomal RNA
Source: RNAcentral
AGCGAACGUUAGCGGCGGGCUUAACACAUGCAAGUCGAGCGAGAAAGCGUCCUUCGGGACGUGAGUACAGCGGCGAACGGGUGAGUAACGCGUGGGUAAUCUACCUCUUGGCGCGGGACAACGGUUCGAAAGGACCGCUAAUACCGCAUAAGUCGGCGACCACCACGGUGGUUCCCGGGAAAGGGCAGCCUCUGCUUGCAAGCUGUCGCCGAGAGAGGAACCCGCGUCCCAUCAGCUUGUUGGUAGGGUAACGGCCUACCAAGGCUUAGACGGGUAGCUGGUCUGAGAGGAUGAUCAGCCACACUGGGACUGAGACACGGCCCAG